Molecule: ribosomal RNA, 341 nt
Filed under: Escherichia coli
Lineage: Bacteria; Pseudomonadati; Pseudomonadota; Gammaproteobacteria; Enterobacterales; Enterobacteriaceae
Description: bacterial SSU rRNA
Rfam family: Bacterial small subunit ribosomal RNA
Source: RNAcentral
AAAUUGAAGAGUUUGAUCAUGGCUCAGAUUGAACGCUGGCGGCAGGCCUAACACAUGCAAGUCGAACGGUAACAGGAAACAGCUUGCUGUUUCGCUGACGAGUGGCGGACGGGUGAGUAAUGUCUGGGAAACUGCCCGAUGGAGGGGGAUAACUACUGGAAACGGUAGCUAAUACCGCAUAACGUCGCAAGACCAAAGAGGGGGACCUUAGGGCCUCUUGCCAUCGGAUGUGCCCAGAUGGGAUUAGCUAGUAGGUGGGGUAAAGGCUCACCUAGGCGACGAUCCCUAGCUGGUCUGAGAGGAUGACCAGCCACACUGGAACUGAGACACGGUCCAGACUC